RNAcentral lists this ribosomal RNA (442 nucleotides) under uncultured bacterium. RNAcentral's name for it is "partial 16S ribosomal RNA". It matches the Rfam family "Bacterial small subunit ribosomal RNA", at positions 338 to 795 of the family's 1533-position model. The record is from RNAcentral.
CCUACGGGCGGCAGCAGUGGGGGAUAUUGGGCAAUGGACGCAAGUCUGACCCAGUAACGCCGCGUGAAGGAAGAAGGCUUUCGGGUUGUAAACUUCUUUUAAGGGGGACGAGCAGAUGACGGUACCUCUUGAAUAAGCCACGGCUAACUACGUGCCAGCAGCCGCGGGAAUACGUAGGUGGCAAGCGUUGUCCGGAUUUACUGGGUGUAAAGGGCGUGUAGCCGGGAAGGCAAGUCAGAUGUGAAAUCCCGCGGCGCAACCGCCGAACUGAAUUUGAAACUGUUUUUCUUGAGUAUCGGAGAGGUGAUCGGAAUUCCUAGUGUAGCGGUGAAAUGCGUAGAUAUUAGGAGGAACACCAGUGGCGAAGGCGGAUUACUGGACGACAACUGACGGUGAGGCGCGAAAGCGUGGGGAGCAAACAGGAUUAGAUACCCUUGUAGUC